GGUUGUUAAUACUUUUCCUCAAGGUAUACAUACACUUGGUGUUGACGUUUGUUUACUUUUAAACCACGAAGUCUGUGGAACUUGUGUAAUAUACCAAAUUCUAGUUCGGAGAUGAAAAUACCCAAACUGGAUAUCUACUAAGAAAAUCAUUUAAGUUCCUUGCCCCAGGUUUCUCCAUUGGAAAAUGUGACUCCUAAUAGCAACAAUCUCAGUUUUAAGAUAACCGAUCAGGUUAGUAUGUCCUCAACUUGUGUCCUGCUGCUUGCUGGCUCAUAAUCAACUUGUGCACAACAUUCCCAUUGUCUUUAUUUAGGUUGUCUCUUGAAAGUUCCACCUGUCCUGUAUUGUGGUGGAAGCCACGGAGGCAAAUGAAGAUGGUGGUGGUCUCCAAUGGUCAAAGGAACUUCAGCUGCUCACUGAUGGCAAGGAAGAAUCUGAGGCCUUCUUCCAGGACCAAGUGUAGAACCAGGUAAGGGAGGUGGCUGUUUCAGUUGGGAUACUGUGAUCUGGAUGUUCUAGAGUGGGCCAAAAUGGAUUCACUGUCUCCUGCAGAUAGCAGGGCCAAGCACAUAUUGGUACUCAAUAAACAUAGAAAGGGGUUUCAGGUGUAGCCAGCGGUAAAGUGCAUGCUUACUUAGCAUGUUUGAUCCUCAGCAUUCCCUUCUUCACAAGGUAUUAAAUGAAUGUGGUAGAGAAAAAUAUAGGAGGG
This 709-nucleotide long non-coding RNA is filed under the name Marmota monax (woodchuck). Lineage: Eukaryota; Metazoa; Chordata; Mammalia; Rodentia; Sciuridae. The record is from RNAcentral.